Molecule: long non-coding RNA, 2194 nt
Organism: Syngnathus typhle (broad-nosed pipefish)
Lineage: Eukaryota; Metazoa; Chordata; Actinopteri; Syngnathiformes; Syngnathidae
Exons: 4
Source: RefSeq, a predicted model, not a curated record
CUGAGCGUCUGGUUGCGAUGGUGCUCCUUGUGGCCAUGAUGCCGGCGAGAAGAUUUCCUCUUCAGCGCCGGCUGUCGCGGAGCGGGCUGACAUCGGCAUUCCACGUGAUCCAUCACGGACACCACGGCUUUAGCGUAUCUGGUGUGUGUGACAACAGGGACGCACUGAAGGCUUUUGGUAUUACAGCAACCGGAGCAGCGCUGCACCUCCACACAUGGCGGCCAUAGCAGGAAGUUAGCAUUGCUUCGGUCCAACAUUGCCCUGGUGACCUCCACCACCUCCGUGCGAACUUUACACACGGCCUGCUGGGCUGGCUGAGCAACUGGAGGAGGAAAAGACAAAUUGUGAGUAUUAUUUCAUUCCAGUCAGUCAUUGUUUAUUUUAUUUUUUUUUCAAUCGGUUGCAGCAGACUAAGGCAACAUGAGAAGAUGGAAAAAGACAUCAUAGGAAAAAUAAAACAUUAUAUAUGUGUUAAUGCAAGAUCAUUUGUCUUUUGGUGCUGGAUGGGAAGCUUUCACGGUACUCCAACUGGUGUCCACUGGAGACAUCUGCUUUAUUAUCGAUUCCCCAGAAAAAGGUUAAUGGGUAUGAUUUUCAGCAUGUCACCAAGCCCAUACUUGUCACAUAAAUCAAGGCCCGGAGAGACAACCUAAUGAAGAUAAACAUUCACCAAGAAAAUCAAGAAUCUUCCAUGCCAGCACUCGGAGCAACCGUAUUGUUUGGAUAUGAGAAAGGUCUUUGGGUGUAAUGUAUUCCUUUGGGGUCAAAGGAGCCAGGAAGGAGCCAGGAAGUGGGGGAAGGAGUGAUACAGAGAGGAGAAGAGAAGCAUGUCAAAAAGGAGAUGAAGAAAAGAAUGGACAAGGAUCAGACGUGGGGUCGGGACACUUGCUCGCUGGCGUCGGUUCAAAUAUGAGCUUCAUGUUACUCAAAAGUGCAUUAGACGUCAGGAAUGAAGUCACUCAUUUAUGGAAAAUAGAACAUCCAGAAUCUGGAGAAUUUAAUGAAGCUCUUUAGGAAGCCAAAGGCAGCCAUCCAUGCAUGAGCGGUUAUUUGACUUCACGACGCCGUUUCCUGCAUUGUUGCUUGGCCCCUUUUCAGUCUCAAAGAGUCCAAGCGGGGAAAUGGCUGCUCGCAUCUCUGUUGUCGUCGAGCUGCAGAUGCCCCAGAGGAGUCAUCGUUAUUUCCUUUCCUCGCCAACCUGCUUGCUUGGAUAAUUGUGUUUGAUGUUAAUUAUAGGACCUGGGCCUUUUUUUCACAGCCCUUGCCUGCCUUCUGUCAAGGUUUAGAAAUGUACUAUCUCGAAACAAAGCUAGAAAAAUGGUGCUACUGAUUCUACAUGAAAUGAGGCAAAUUAAAUUCUGACCUAUGUGACUUGAAAUUUUAAUUUGAGGCUAAAUGGCUUUUUGUUAUAGAAUAUAAAAUAUGUAAUAAUAAUUCCUUCUGUUUCUAUAGACUCUUUUUCAGCAUUUAUGCGAUCAUUUCCCAGCUUGUGACAUAUUUGAAAUUGAUCCGAGCCCUGAUCUGGUCGCUUCCAGUGGAUGUAUUGAGGAAUGCCAGGUACGUCUGCAGGGGAGGAGCAGGAACAUCUAAUCGUAUAUAAUUAGGGAGGGAGCGAGGAAGCUUGUGUGGCGUGGCAUUUUUCACAAAUGGUCACGGGAAUUAUAACUGAAUGUGUGACAGUCGAGAUUUGAACCCAGAACCUCCAAAACAUUCUAACCACAUCAUACCUACAUUCAAAUAUGUUUUUGUUUUUGAUUACUCUCCCACUUCUUGUUGUCAGUCCAAACUAACUUCGAUGCACUGGCGGCGCUAGGAUUUUUUUCUUUAGGGGGGGGGGAUUGGGGUGGCCAAGGAUAUUUCAGGGGUUCUAUAAAACAUGAAUAAUUUUUUUUUAAUAUUUGACUGCCUUUAAUAGCCAAUAUGAUGUAGAAAUGUAUUGCCUCAAGUUUUUUUAAUUGGAUCCCAUGCAGGUGUUUUGAACAUUUUGCCGACUGACUGAAUGAGUUUGUUUCCCCCCCCUUGGUGGUCGCUCAUUGAAAUAAACUCACAAGCACACAGCACUGUGUGUUGCUCCAAGCCAUUUGUAUGAUAAUUGGAAUGUUUGAAGUCUGCGUAUAUAUGCCUUAGUCCAACUCUGGGAAUUCCCACUUGCAUACAUCAAAGUCAUUUUUAACUUUUACCUAUGAGCCUGCCU